RNAcentral lists this unclassified non-coding RNA (4021 nucleotides) under Hevea brasiliensis (rubber tree). Lineage: Eukaryota; Viridiplantae; Streptophyta; Magnoliopsida; Malpighiales; Euphorbiaceae. The record is from RNAcentral.
CGGGCAGCUCCAGUGCUUUGCUUUUGGACUUUUAAAAGGGGACAUCUUUGCUUUGUUUGUCUGUUUCCGUUCCAUUAUAUUUUCUUAUCAAUAGCAGGAGUAUAGAUUCUGCCCGCUUCCGUCCUGGAAUAUCAAACUCUACCUAGAAGGAAUCCGGCUUCUGUGUUUUGGGAUGCGGGCAGAUUUGGCCUAGCUUCUUUUUCUGUACAUAAUUUAGAAGGACUUGAUUCAGUUUUUUUUUUUCCUUGUAAAUUGGGAAAACCCAGUUUGACAAUUUGUUAGAUUGUUCUUCUGAUUUAUCAUUUCUGGUUUUAAAGCAAAGAAAAAGUUGGGAAUUUUGAUGGGUUUUCUUGUUGAUUCACACAAAGAUGGUGGAUUUGGUGUAUUGGGAGGUUGUGUUAGGAGUUUGGUAAGGAGAAAACAGGUUGAUUCUGCACAUGCCAAAGCUAAUGCUCACCAUAAGUUAGCCAAGGAGUUGUCUGUUCCUCACCUUAUUGCAAUCGGUGUUGGCUCGACAAUUGGAGCUGGAGUUUAUAUUCUGGUUGGAACGGUUGCUAGAGAGCAUUCUGGUCCAGCUCUCACGAUUUCCUUUCUUAUAGCUGGAAUCGCCGCUGCUCUUUCUGCCUUUUGCUAUGCAGAGCUCGCAAGUCGUUGUCCAUCUGCUGGCAGUGCCUAUCACUAUUCUUAUAUAUGUGUUGGAGAGGGUGUUGCAUGGUUGAUUGGCUGGGCACUGAUAUUGGAAUACACAAUUAGUGGAUCAGCAGUUGCUCGUGGCAUAUCCCCCAAUCUGGCAUUCUUUUUCGGAGGUCAGGAUAGUCUGCCUUGUUUUCUAGCUCGUCAGCACAUUCCUUGGCUGGAUAUUGUGGUUGACCCUGUUGCAGCAAUUUUAGUAUUUAUUGUGACAGGUCUCUUGUGUGUGGGAAUCAAGGAGAGUACCCUGGUACAAGGUACAGUCACCACUGUGAAUGUCUGUGUCAUGCUUUUUGUCAUAAUAGCUGGUAGUUACCUGGGCUUCAAGACUGGAUGGAGAGGAUAUGGACUUCCCACUGGGUAUUUUGCCUUCGGAGUAGAUGGGAUGCUCGCAGGGUCUGCAACUGUCUUUUUUGCUUAUAUUGGUUUUGAUUCAGUUGCUAGCACUGCUGAGGAGGUGAAGAAUCCUCAACGAGAUUUGCCUUUGGGCAUAGGCCUUGCACUGUCUAUUUGUUGUACCUUAUACAUUCUGGUUUCAGUGGUCAUUGUGGGGCUGGUACCUUAUCAUGCAAUGAAUCCUGAUACUCCUAUCUCCUCUGCAUUUGCUGAGCAUGGCAUGCAGUGGGCAGCGUACAUAAUAACAGCUGGAGCUGUCAUGGCACUCUGUUCAACAUUGAUGGGCUCAAUUCUUCCUCAGCCACGAAUUUUAAUGGCAAUGGCUAGAGAUGGAUUACUGCCAUCAUUUUUUUCAGAUGUAAAUAAAAAUACACAAGUACCUGUAAAGAGCACUUUGGCAACUGGCAUUGGUGCUGCAAUGUUGGCAUUUUUUAUGGAUGUUGAUCAGUUGGCUGGAAUGGUCAGUGUGGGCACACUUCUUGCUUUCACCAUGGUUGCUAUCUCUGUAUUAAUAUUGAGAUAUGUCCCGCCAGACAUGGUGCCAUUUCCAUCCUCACUUCAGGACACAAUUGAUUUUGUCUCAUUGCAGUACGGGGUGAACAGUCAGAAUAUUAAUGUUGAAACGUCUGAUGUUAAUGGUGGUGCUUCAAGUACUUUGCCUUUGCUAGGCAAAAAUAACACAGUAGUUGAUUAUCCUAAAAUUGUAAAACAAGAAGCUCAGCGCAAUUGUAAGUUCCUUAUAGGCUUCAUGCUUUCAAUUUUAAUUUUUCUGGAAUACUUUGAGAUGUUAGGAUAUAAACUCCUAAUCUUAUCCAAUCCACUCGCCCACCAAAGAGAAGGGGCCUUGUUUAGGACAUGCUUGAUUAUGCUUUGCAAAUGCUAGUGUGCCUGUCUCAACCUUUUUGGUUUACAUGCUUCAUUUACUUGUUAAAUACAUCUACAUAUACAUUGCAUCUAUCUGAAACAAUGUUCAAGUAAUGUUCAAGUUAUCCCAAUUUUGAAAAUCAUCAAUUGGAAAUAUUAUAUUAACUUUUUAGGUAGACAUGUUCAAUGUAGCAAUCAAUGUGUGUGUGCGUAUUUCUGCUUCAUAUGGCUUUAAACUAUAUAGAGUUGGAGUGCUUGUUGAUUGAAUUGAACCAUGGUUAUUUUUGCCUUGCUCUAAGUUUGAUUUAUAAUAGUUGUUGGGGCCUGAUAACUUAAUGCAUGCUCGCUAGUAUCCAUGUAAAAAAUUGUUCCAUUUUCUUGCCUUUCAUAAUUUAGGUUCUGCUAUUUUUUACUAUCUUCUAUUUGUUAAUUGUUUCAGAUGUUCGAAAUGAAGAGAACAGAAGAAAAAUUGCUGGCUCGACCAUAGCAUUCACAUGUAUUGGAGCAUUUCUUCUUACAUAUGCAGCUACAGAUUUGAAUAUUCCUAGGUGGGUUGAUCAAGAGUAACUCUAUUUAACUUGCAUUGAUGAUAAUUUCAAGUACAUUCCCCAAUGAUUUAGCUUGAAGACAUGUCACAUUUAAGAAGAAACUGUUUAAACUAGAUGUAGGGUUUCGCAAGAAGAGAGAGAGGGAGGCUGUUGGAAAUUUGACUGACUUUGACCAGGCAUUAAAUUUGAGAGUAAUGGCCAAAGUAAAUUGUGGUUUUCUUCAAAAUCAGUUAACUAUUUGUUUGGAUAUUCCAUUAGGCCUGUUCGCUUUACAUUGUGCGGUGUUGGUGGUGCUCUUCUUUUAUUUGGUCUGAUUGUGCUGACUCUUAUUGAACAAGAUGAUGCAAGACAUAGCUUUGGGCAUUCUGGAGGCUUUAUAUGUCCAUUUGUUCCACUGCUUCCGAUCUUCUGCAUUCUGAUCAACAUAUACCUGCUGAUUAAUCUAGGUGCCGCCACCUGGGCCCGUGUUUCAGUCUGGCUCCUAAUUGGAGUGUUCGUUUAUGCAUUCUAUGGGCGGACUCACAGCUCACUAUUAGAUGCAGUCUAUGUGCCUGCAGCUCAUGCUGAUGAGAUUUAUCGCAGCUCUGGAUAUAGUUUAGCUUAGAAUCCAGGAUUCUCACAACAGAAUCUCUUUGUUGUAUGAUGGCAUUCUCCCCAAACAUGCCCUCCCCCAUUCUUUUGGCUUUUUAUAUUAUUUUCCCCCUUUCCCUAUGUGUUGUAUGUAUUCUUACAGUGGCUCAAAUCAGUCGUGUGCAUAGCAUAUUAUAAUAGAGGGUUGACAUGGGGACAUGCUUAAGCAUUGUAAGUAGUUUGAAAGUGGAAGAAGAUAUUCUUCUUCUUUUGUUUACAUUGCCUAAUGAAUAUUCUUCUUGACACAGUGAUAAACCCCACAAUGAGGAUAGCAUAUGUUUUAAGACUAUUUAGAUGUAAUUUUCAAAAUGAUACAUUCAGGAACAUCAAUCAGUAUUGCAUAGAUGAGUUGGCCAGCAUUAUCGGUCUUGGAAGAUUCUCCAGAGCCAAUGUAAAAAUUGCACCGAGUAUAAAAAUCAAAAUGAAGGCUAAUAAUAUCUUUGCAAUGUACAAAAGACUGACACCUGAUUUAGGAAUCAUCUUCGCUGGAUGCCGGCCAUCAGAACUCUGCUGAAACAAAAAGCCAAGUGCAGAUCACUUAAGGUCAAUAAUGUUCCAAUCUCAAUUGAAUAAUCUAUAGCAAGAUAAUAAAUAAAACUCCAGGGCAAAUGCUUUUCAGAGGAAAAUCAAGGCAACAGAAUAUUGUUGCUCAAACCGGGUCUUUUGGAUAGUACAGCCACAAUAGACUAGCAUUGUGAACACUAAUUGCUAGACUGGAGCCCUGUGGCCGAGCAUGACCACGGAACUUGGGGGGCCUUAGAUUUUAGAUUUUUUUUUCUCUUUAUAUUGUUAUAAACAAUUAAAAGACAAAAACAAAUAUAGUACUUAUAUAUUAAUAAGUAACAAUAGGAUAAAAAGCUGUUCACUAAAAAUAUUAAAUAUUUUUGGAUUCU